CACGCCGUAAACGGUGGACACUAGGUGUGGGAUGCGAUCAACGCAUUCCGUGCCGCAGUUAACGCAUUAAGUGUCCCGCCUGGGGAGUACGAUCGCAAGAUUAAAACUCAAAGGAAUUGACGGGGGCCCGCACAAGCGGUGGAGUAUGUGGUUUAAUUCGAUGCAACGCGAAGAACCUUACCUGGUUUUGACAUGUAGGGUAACGGAAUGAAAGUUCCUGAUCCUUCGGGAUCCUACACAGGUGG
This 245-nucleotide ribosomal RNA is filed under the name uncultured bacterium. RNAcentral describes it as "partial 16S ribosomal RNA". It matches the Rfam family "Bacterial small subunit ribosomal RNA", at positions 796 to 1041 of the family's 1533-position model. The record is from RNAcentral.